This 302-nucleotide ribosomal RNA is filed under the name uncultured bacterium. RNAcentral's name for it is "partial 16S ribosomal RNA". It matches the Rfam family "Bacterial small subunit ribosomal RNA", at positions 355 to 651 of the family's 1533-position model. The record is from RNAcentral.
UAGGGAAUCUUCCACAAUGGACGCAAGUCUGAUGGAGCAACGCCGCGUGAGUGAAGAAGGUUUUCGGACCGUAAAGCUCUGUUGUUGGUGAAGAAGGAUAGAGGUAGUAACUGGCCUUUAUUUGACGGUAAUCAACCAGAAAGUCACGGCUAACUACGUGCCAGCAGCCGCGGUAAUACGUAGGUGGCAAGCGUUGUCCGGAUUUAUUGGGCGUAAAGCGAGCGCAGGCGGAAGAAUAAGUCUGAUGUGAAAGCCCUCGGCUUAACCGGGAAUUGCAUCGGAAACUGUUUUCUUGAGUGCAG